This 275-nucleotide long non-coding RNA is filed under the name Eucalyptus grandis. RNAcentral describes it as "long non-coding RNA (EGRA_LNC001217)". Lineage: Eukaryota; Viridiplantae; Streptophyta; Magnoliopsida; Myrtales; Myrtaceae. The record is from RNAcentral.
GGAGGAGGAGGAUGAUGGCGGCGAGGCCGAGGAAGAGGAAGAAGAGGGUGGUUAUCAGGAUCAUGAUUAUGGCCUUCAGGAGGAGGGAGAGCAGCUUCGGGUUCUGCUUCGGCGGCGGCGGCGAAGGCAAAGAGCCGCCGCCGUGCCGGUGGCCGGAGGCGGGUCCGCCGCCGUGGAGGGCGCCAUGGUGGGGCGGCAUGUAAGGAGGCCGGAAUGAUGGAAGGGUAAGGUAGAGAGAGAAAGUUGCCGUUUCGAUAAAGAGAUAUUUUUCGGCU